This 520-nucleotide unclassified non-coding RNA is filed under the name uncultured Glomus. Its description in RNAcentral is "SSU rRNA". It matches the Rfam family "Eukaryotic small subunit ribosomal RNA", at positions 569 to 1091 of the family's 1831-position model. Lineage: Eukaryota; Fungi; Glomeromycota; Glomeromycetes; Glomerales; Glomeraceae. The record is from RNAcentral.
AGCAGCCGCGGUAAUUCCAGCUCCAAUAGCGUAUAUUAAAGUUGUUGCAGUUAAAAAGCUCGUAGUUGAAUUUCGGGAUCAAUAUGUUGGUCGUGCCUUGGUACGUACUGGCAUUAUUGGUUUCUACCUUCUGAAGAACCUCGAUGUCAUUAAUUUGGUGUCUUGGGGAAUCAGGACUGUUACUUUGAAAAAAUUAGAGUGUUUAAAGCAGGCUCGCGCUUGAAUACAUUAGCAUGGAAUAAUGAAAUAGGACGUUUGAUUCUAUUUUGUUGGUUUCUAGGAUUGACGUAAUGAUUAAUAGGGAUAGUUGGGGGCAUUAGUAUUCAAUUGUCAGAGGUGAAAUUCUUGGAUUUAUUGAAGACUAACUACUGCGAAAGCAUUUGCCAAGGAUGUUUUCAUUAAUCAAGAACGAAAGUUAGGGGAUCGAAGACGAUCAGAUACCGUCGUAGUCUUAACCAUAAACUAUGCCGACUAGGGAUCGGAUGAUGUUAAUUUUUUAAUGACUCAUUCGGCGCCUUAC